GCAAUAGCCCACAAGAACAAGGGGAGAGACCUUGAGACCUCCUGCGGCUGUGUCUAAAGUGUCUUGCCCACCUCUUCAUCCUGGUUGGGUGGCCUGUAGCACACUCCCACGAUAAGGUCAGUCUUACUGGCCUUUGCUUUUCUUCUGACCUAGAAGCUCUCAACCCUAUCAUGGCCAUCGUUCAUUUCCAGACAUUCCCAUUCUUUCUUAACGUAGAGGGCUGCACCACUGCCUUUCCUGCCUUGCCUCUCUCUUUUGCAAAGUCGCUAGCCAUCCAUCACAGCACUCCAGCUGUGCAUUGUGAUCAACUUAAAAAAGGAACGCAUGAAGAAUAGCUUUGUUUGCAUUCUGGUAACUGCUGAGGCUUUGGCUGAGGACAGCUUUCAGCUGCACCUGAACUAGGCUGGAUUUGUCUCCUGCUCUCCAUAGGUGAGUGUUUCUCUUGCAGACCUUUGAAUCAAUGAUUCCCCUGCUAUUUGUCUCUUCUGGUUGCUGGAGAGAAGAGCUCCAAUGUCACAUCCUGAUCCGUAAGGUGAUCAAGCUUGGUGAUUGUCAGUAAUUCAGGAUAUGCUUGCUUUUCUUGAAGUGAACUAAGGGAUAAGCUAUCAUGCUGUGCCAUUUCUUUUCCUGUGCGUAAUGCCAAGGGAUAGGGCUGCAAGUGCCUGCUGGUUCACGGGACAUGCCAGAGCUUUGUACACAGCUUAAGUGAUGGAAGAGGAAAGACUCCAGUAUGGUAACAACGUGAUUUCUAGUGUUUUGGUACGUAUAUUCAAGUCAGUAUGGGUCCAUUUCAGACAGCAUCGUCUCACAUCUGUUUGUUGUCUCGUAUCAAACGCAUUUUUACUCAUUUGGCUACAUACAUACUCCACCCAUAGUUUGCAUCUUGUCUUCUUAGGGUGAGGUUUGCCUGCUGAACAGCAAGACAAAAGGAGCUUAAAUUACAGAAGCAGAGAAGCAAAGACAGCUUAGAGGCUCAAUACAGUACGGAUCAGUUAGAGCAUUACUUGGAAGUUGUUGUGUUCUGGGUGUUAGGUGGGAUGAGGCACGGGUGUGAAUGUUACAGCCAAGUGUUUUUCCCUUGUUCAUUGUUCACCUGCUGCCAUGCAAGCCAGCUCUUCUUUUCCCUGCCUCUGCUUUUCUUGUUGCAUGCAUAUGCAUCGCAAAAUCUCUGAACAGAUUUCUUUUCCCGUUUUAACAGUGUAUAGCUAGAAGUGGGGCUUAUCUCAGCCUUUUGUCUCAUCAUCUGAUGGAGAUUGGUUGUGUAUGGGGGAGUUUGCACGAAUUAUUAGCAUCUCACCAAAAGCAAGGAACAGAAAAAGAAAGAAAAAAACACCAAACCGCCCUAAAAGCUGCAUAAAUGACUAUAGCUGAGCCAGCAGGAAAUAUUACCUGCAGUUUGCAGAGUCCUCGUUUUGCUCAGCACUGACUGGAUGGGGUUAACAGUGACCACUAAUGAAGGAGCUCUGCUACCUGUCUCAGCAGUGCUCCAGUCUUUGUUGCUGCGUUAUGAAUGCACUGCUCCUCCUGACACAUUGCAGGAUUCAGGCUGGGAGCAGGUAUGGCAUCCCCUGACUUGACCACGUGUAACUUGAUGCUAGAAGUACACCACGUCCUCCCUCCCUGCAUGGCAAGAGAUGGCUCUCUUCUCCUGCAAAGGCAGCCAAAGUAACUUCUGUGUGCUGACUAGAGAGAGAAAACUUGGUGUCACUCCUUGCAAGUCCUGUGGCAGCCAGAUAUUGUGUUAGCCACUCACAGGUAGCAUGUCUUUGGUAUCAGGGUGUAAGAGAAUGAACUCUGUAGGAGCGCUGCUGUCAUAGGCCACCAAGGGCCCGGGAUGCCUGGCUGAAAUUUGAUGUUGCAGAUACCUUGGUGUCACUGGAAUCCAUGGAGCUGACACAGUCCUCUGAUGGCUGGAUUUCUGCUUGCUAAGGGUAUUCCUUCUGGUUUCUUGGCUUUUCAGGUGUAUGGGAACUGUAUAAUCACAGCCUGACCCUCUGUUUGACCACCUGAGGCGAGUGCUGAGUCAGCUGCAGGGGCACAGGUGAUGGCAGUUUCAGCUGAGUGACCGGAAGGGGUGGACCCUGGCUGCAGCCCUGCUAGACCCCAUGUAAGGGCUGACUCCCAAGGAGGAAGGAUCUCUACCUGGAGGUCACCCUUAGUGGAGCCCUUCUGCGCGCCCAGGGUACGGGUAAGCUUUUUAUGUCAUUCCUCCUUUGGAAACGCGAUCAUCUCUCUGGUCCUUUACCUGUUUGCCUUACAAUCUGUUUGCCAUACACACAGGUAAUGUUUAACCCUCCUAAUGGGUAGCCCUGAAGCCUUUUCUGUAAACGCAACAGG
Gallus gallus (chicken) is the source of this 2337-nucleotide long non-coding RNA. RefSeq lists it as uncharacterized. The transcript has 3 exons. Lineage: Eukaryota; Metazoa; Chordata; Aves; Galliformes; Phasianidae. The record is from RefSeq and is a predicted model, not a curated record.